Molecule: long non-coding RNA, 677 nt
Organism: Salvia miltiorrhiza (redroot sage)
Lineage: Eukaryota; Viridiplantae; Streptophyta; Magnoliopsida; Lamiales; Lamiaceae
Exons: 2
Source: RefSeq, a predicted model, not a curated record
GGCGCCUCUGCCCUCUCUCCGCCGCCGCCGCUCAACGGCGCCGUCGCCGCCGGCGAGCGGCUCGGCCUUCUCUCCCUCGACUCGCUCUCUCCUCUCUGACCCCUUUCUUUCUCACUGACUCACACACACACGCACGCAGACACGGCGAAAGCCGCGCCGCCGCGUCGUCUUCUUCCCCGGCGAGGACAGCACCGGUCAGCCAUCUCCCUUCUCUCGACUCCGGCAGCAGUAGCAGCAGCUGUUAAUGAAGCCAGCCACCGCCGAAGCCCUGGAUCACCGACUCCCUCGAAUCCGGCGACCACAGGACAGCCAUGGCCGCCGCCCUUCCUCCCUCCGAUUUCCGGCGAAGCCGCAGCCGCAGCCGCCGACAACCCAGAACGGAGACCACUCUGUGGCUCCGCCGCCGUCCGUCGACCACCGGCAGCCCCGCGGCUGCCGCCCCCUAACCUCGAUUCACACACACACACAGCAGGGUUUCAAGCCAAGAUGCAGUCGAACACUUAGCAAAUAGGAUUUGAGCAUAAAUCAAAUACUGUAAAUGAUCAAUUGUAAACUGUACACAAACAUUCAUUCAUGUAUAUUAAUCCUUCAUGUAAUUUCAGUUUCAAAAUACAUGUGUAAACGUAUUGGUGAUCGUUGGUUCCCUGUAAAAUGAAAUAGGGGAAAACCUUGGAUUG